CGCGUAUGCAAUCUACCUGUAACUGGGGAAUAGCCUUCCGAAAGGAAGAUUAAAACCGCAUAAUAUCACGAAGCGGCAUCGUUUUGUGAUCAAAUCUCCGGAGGUUACAGAUGAGCAUGCGUGACAUUAGCUAGUUGGUGAGGUAACGGCCCACCAAGGCUACGAUGUCUAGGGGGUCUGAGAGGAUGACCCCCCACACUGGUACUGAGACACGGACCAG
This 220-nucleotide ribosomal RNA is filed under the name uncultured bacterium. RNAcentral's name for it is "partial 16S ribosomal RNA". It matches the Rfam family "Bacterial small subunit ribosomal RNA", at positions 114 to 334 of the family's 1533-position model. The record is from RNAcentral.